UACGUAGGGGGCUAGCGUUGUCCGGAAUCAUUGGGCGUAAAGAGCGUGUAGGCGGUCCGGUAAGUCCGCUGUGAAAGUCGGGGGCUCAACCCUCGGAAGCCGGUGGAUACUGUCGGGCUAGAGUACGGAAGAGGCGAGUGGAAUUCCUGGUGUAGCGGUGAAAUGCGCAGAUAUCAGGAGGAACACCAAUUGCGAAGGCAGCUCGCUGGGACGUUACUGACGCUGAGACGCGAAAGCGUGGGGAGCAAACAGG
Molecule: ribosomal RNA, 253 nt
Filed under: uncultured bacterium
Lineage: Bacteria
Description: partial 16S ribosomal RNA
Rfam family: Bacterial small subunit ribosomal RNA
Source: RNAcentral